UACAGGUGUUCUAAAGCAGCCUGGAAAAGAACAGGAGGAUGGCUCAUGUUGCUGAAGGUCUCCAGGACAGGACACACUGUCUGUCUCUGUGCUAGUGUAGGGAUGUGCCCUGAGCACUGCAGCACUCUGCUGCUUCCAGCCUGAGGAAUAACUGAUGGAUAACACAAGAGAGGAGUCCCUGUGAGUGGGCACUGACAGGUGGAUAAUAGAAAUGUUCUGGACAGUCAGAGAACUACUGGAGAUGACAUAUGAGAAGAAAAUCACUGCUGGAGUACAUUUGAGGAGGGUCUAGCUUUAGUUGUCUGUGUAACAGCUGAGAUGAAAGAUCUUUUACAUGUGCUCCCUUUUAUGCAUCACUGAAUCCAGAGCUGGGCAGGGAGAGGCAAGGAGAAGAAGAGGCAGUUCUGGAGGACUGAGGCAGUUGAUCCAGUACUGGAAAAGUGUUCCCAAGGAGCAAAAUCUGACAGUGUGGCUGUUUCCUGCUCCUGGAAAAGCUCCCUGUGUGUCCAACACAGAGCCACAUGCAGUCAUCACCUGGCCAUGGAUCACCAAGGAAGCUGCUAAUACCUGUGAAAUUUGGUCCUACCAUGAAGAAAUGGUUGUUAGUAUGGCACUCCAUCCCUCAGUAAAUAUGUUCCAUGUGGAUAUUUAUAGUCCUGCCUGCUCCCUUCAGUGAGAACAGAACGUUCUUCCUCCCAUGAGCUCUGUACAGCUGCCAGGAGAGAUGGUGGAAGCCUUUCCUCCCCUCACCUACUGUGGAUGCUCAUUGGUUUCAGCUCCACAGUCCCUGCAAUACCCAAGGAUUUGUGUAAGUGUUUGAAAGGAUCUAAUUUAAAAAGAUAACUGUCUCUUCUAG
Molecule: long non-coding RNA, 856 nt
Filed under: Zonotrichia albicollis (white-throated sparrow)
Lineage: Eukaryota; Metazoa; Chordata; Aves; Passeriformes; Passerellidae
Description: lncRNA (ENSZALG00000015914.1)
Source: RNAcentral